RNAcentral lists this long non-coding RNA (1192 nucleotides) under Monodelphis domestica (gray short-tailed opossum). RNAcentral's name for it is "lncRNA (ENSMODG00000049715.1)". The record is from RNAcentral. Lineage: Eukaryota; Metazoa; Chordata; Mammalia; Didelphimorphia; Didelphidae.
AUGUUCUCCUGGUUCUAUUCCUUUCACUUUGUUUUCAACUUUGUUCUGAAAGCAUCCUGCUUGUCAUUUCCUUUAGCACAAGGAUAUUUCAUCACAAUUCUAUAUCACAAUUUGUUUAGCUAUAGGCAUCCCCUCAAUUACCAAUUCUUUGCUACCACAAAAAAAAAAAAAAAAAAAAAAAAAGGUUGUUCAGUUGUGUCAGAAUUUUUUGUGUCCCUAUUUUGGGGUUCCCCAACAAAGAUACUAGAGUGGUUUGCCAUUUCCUUUUCCAGGUCAUUUUGCAGAUGAGGAAAUUUGAGGUAAAUGAAGUGAUUUUCGAGGGUCACAAGCUAAUGUCUGGGACCAGAUUUGAAUUCAAGAAGAUAAGUCUUUCUGACUCCAGACUCAGCAAUCUAUCCACUGUACCAUUUAGCUGGCCCCAAAAGGAUGUAGCCAUCCCCAAUACUUCUUCACUUAGGAGGAAACAAAAAUAAGCCAGAUGCACUUCUGGUUUCUUGGUAGCUCCAAGAAAAGCUUAAAGUUAGCAACCUCCAGCACCUAGAACUGUCAUGAAGCUAAGAAUCCCAAGCAUCUUCCUUGCUCAUCAACAGGGAAAGAAAAAAUAUCAGUUUGGCUAGUUAGUGCCUUUUGUAGAAACACCAAGUAUGACUCAGCUUCAUAUUAGCAGGCUCCUUUUCAUCAUACAGCAAAUGGACAAGAAGCAGUCAGAAUAAUUCCACAUAAUCUGGAGGACCUUAGGCAGAACAUGUUCUUAAGAACUCAGUCCUCAUUGUCCAGCCCCUUCCCCCAUAUACCUUAAAGAGGCAGAGAUGAGAGUGAAUCUAGGGAUGGAGAAAAGGGUAUUUGAAGUCACUGAGGUAGGAACUGGAGUAUUGUGAGUGAAGAACUGUAAGUAGGUCAAUUUGCCAGAACCUGUGAAAGGAAGUAACUUCGUAAAUUUGGAACAGUAGUCUAGAGCCAGAUUUCAAAGGGUUUUUAAAUGCCAAACAGAAGAAUUUGUAUAUAUUAGAGGCAACAGGGAGUCAUUGAAGCUUUUUGACCAGAGGAAUGAUAAUGAUAUGGUUAGACCUGUGUAUGCCAUUUUGUCAGCUAUGUAUAGGAUGAACUGGAAAGGGGAAAGACCUGAGGCAAGGAGAUGAAUCACUAAAUAUUAUGUGGGGAUUAGGGAGAAUAAAGUGACUUCAACACUCCA